Molecule: long non-coding RNA, 4816 nt
Organism: Danio rerio (zebrafish)
Lineage: Eukaryota; Metazoa; Chordata; Actinopteri; Cypriniformes; Danionidae
Source: Ensembl
CAUUUACAUUUAUGAAUAAAAAAAUUCCAUACAUAUUGAGUAAAUUAACAAUAUGCCACAUUUUGAAGUCGACUGUAUUCUCAUAAAAAAUAAGACAUCUUUUUUUUUAAAUUCCAAUGCAAUAUUCAUACUCUGCCUAACAAAAAAGAAAGGAUCACACCAAAACUAUUGUGUAUAAAUGCAGUUAUAACAUAAAUGAAAAAUACUAUCUUCUUUAUCGUUACAGAAAGCACAUUUUAAGACAACAUCUUUACAAAAAUUACCUGUUUUACAGGAUGAAUAUAAUGAACAAUUUUAAAUGAUACCUCUUUGAUUUUAUUUGUCAUACAAAAACGUUUGAAAAUCUUAAAUGUCUCGUUCCAGUUAACAUCUUGAAAUUGUGAGCACCAAUGGCUGAAGGAAUAUUGACAAUACAAGAUUGUUAUUUAAUUUUUUUUUCUUUUAUAUUUAUACCUUAUAAUUUAAGACUAAGAUCAAAAUUUGUAUUUUGAAUUAUACCAUUUUCUAAUAGUUUCUUAAGCUUAGACGCAUCCAUUCUUUACAGCGCUUUGUUCAUUUCCUCAACCUACCGAGUCUCUCCGGAGGAGUCGACUCAGUGUUUGUUCGAUUCGGUCUGUGUUUGUCUGCGCGUUGUCAGCCAUGUUAGCGCCCUCCUCCAUCUCGACCACUGCUAACUUUAGGACAUGCUUGCUCCAGGCCGGCUGUGAGGACGAAGAGCUUUAAUUCUUUCUAUCCGCUUGAAAGAACAUUACCAAAUUUACACAAUGGAGGCCGUCAAGGCGUUUAACGGCGAGUUGUACUCAUUGAAUGAAUACAAGCCACCUAUCUCCAAAGCCAAGAUGACCCAGAUUACAAAGUCAGCAAUUAAAGCUAUAAAGUUCUACAAACAUGUUGUCCAAAGUGUGGAGAAAUUCAUUCAAAAGUGCAAACCCGAGUACAAAGUUCCUGGUCUGUAUGUCAUCGACUCCAUUGUACGGCAGUCCCGUCACCAGUUUGGUCAAGAGAAAGAUGUUUUCGCUCCACGCUUCAGUAAGAACAUCAUUGGCACGUUCCAAAAUCUCUACCGCUGCCCGACAGACGACAAGAGCAAGAUUGUCAGAGUGCUCAACUUAUGGCAGAAAAACAACGUCUUCAAGAGCGACAUCAUUCAGCCUCUACUGGAUAUGGCAGCAGGUCUUCCACCGCCCAGCGUUACGCCCGUCUCUGCCAGUAGUGUCAUACCCAUGAACAGCACUACUCCUGGAACUCCUGCAACUCCAGCCACCCCUGCCAAUAUAGUGCAGAGUCUUCCAGACUGGGCGUCUCAGAUCUCCAACACAGACACUGUGGCUGCAGUUGCCCAGAUCUUGCAGAGUCCUCAGGGCCAGCAGUUGCAGCAGCUGGUUCAGAGCCUGCAGAUGCAGCAGCAGAAGCCUCAGCCCUCUCUGCUGCAGGCGCUGGAUGCUGGUUUGGUGGUGCAGCUUCAGGCUUUGACUGCACAACUCACUGCAGCUGCAACAGCCAACAAACUCAACCCACUGGAACAGAGAGUUUCCUCCUUCAACAAGAAGCUGCUGGGUCAGUUUGAUUUCGGGAAUGAGUCUGAACACAGCGAGGAUUCGAAGAAAGAUUCUGCGUCCUCUCAGAUACCUGUGCUGUCAGAUUCCAUCAACAGCUCAAUAUUUCAUCAGCUGGCGGAGCAUCUUCAGCAGCAAAACCUCGAGCAGUUUCAGAAACAGCUAAUGGAGCACCAACAGCAUCAACAGAAGUCUAUGAGCAUGGAGAGCCAGGACGCUAUUUUUGGCACUGAAAAUUCUGCCCCAUCUGGCCAGAGCAGCGCCCCGUCACAGCACCAAGUUCAAGAAUCAAAAAUGGAUGAUUCCAUGGACAACCAACAACAGGACAUGGAUAUUGAUGAGGGACAGGAUGUGGUCGAUGAGGAGCUCUUUGAGACGGAUGAGAAGAAAACCAGCAGCACCCGUUCAAGGACGCGCUCAAGAUCCCGCUCUAGGUCACCUAAGAGGAGGAGGUCAAGAUCACGCUCUGGGUCUCGGAAGCGGAAACACAGAAAACGCUCAAGGUCUCGGUCAAGGGACCGAAAGAGGAAGUCCUCCCGUUCUUAUUCCAGUGAGCGAAGAGCACGGGAGAGAGAAAAAGACCGGCAGAAAAAAGGGCUUCCUCCAAUCCGCUCGAGGGUUCUCAGUGUUUGCAGCACUACUCUAUGGGUUGGUCAAGUGGACAAGAAAGCCACCCAACAGGAUCUCACAAACCUCUUCGAAGAGUUUGGCCAGAUUGAAUCUAUCAAUAUGAUUCCUCCCAGAGGCUGCGCUUACAUCUGUAUGGUCCAUCGUCAGGACGCAUAUCGGGCUCUUCAAAAGCUGAGCACCGGCUCUUACAAAAUUGGUUCAAAGGUCAUCAAGAUUGCUUGGGCUCUGAAUAAAGGAGUCAAACAGGAGUACAAGCAGUUCUGGGAUGUGGACCUCGGGGUCACUUAUAUCCCGUGGGAGAAGGUGAAACUGGAUGACCUGGAUGACUUUGCUGAGGGAGGCAUGAUUGACCAGGAGACGGUCAACAACGAUUGGGAAUCACAAAGGAAUACGGAGACAGCCAAAGAGACUCCGAGUCAGCCAGUUAAAGCUGAAGCAAGUACAGCCAGCAGCACAGCCAGUGAGGCCUUCACACAGCCGGUCACUAUGAUGCCCAUGCAGAUUCCAGUGCCACAGACAGUCCCUGCUGUUGGCCUCGUUCCUCCAUCCUUCCCUGUCACCAUGGCAAUGCCCCCACCAGGCUUCGGUCCCCCUCCACCUUUUCUAAGGGCAGGGUUUAAUGCCUCCCAGCCUCCCCCAGGUUUCAUGGCCACACCAGGAGUAGGGCCGUCAGCAGUGGGGGCAGUCACCAGUCUCGCUUCAGCUCAGAACUCUUUAGUACAGCCUGCGAUGCCAAACACUCAAGACAGCAGCAAGGAUUCUCCGUUUGGUGCCAUGAUGCCUCCCACCGGUACUAUUCCUGGGAGCUUUAUUCCAUCAGCAAUGCCUGGGGCACAAGUCUUUAACCCUGUCGGAGCACAGCAUCAGCAGAGCAGCACAGACAAAACACCUCAGUCUGCAGACGCUAUGGAGGCAUCUUCUGAAAUAACACUACAGGGAAUGCAGAACGCAGUGCGCAGUGGAAUGGGUCUGCUGGGUAUGCAUCCUUCUGCAUCUCUGACGCAUCCUCUCGCCGGGCAGAGGAUGACAGGGCUGCUUCCAUUGGAACUUCGUCCAAACCUGCUCCAGGGGCCUGGCGGCCGCUUCCCCCUACUUAUGCAGCCAGGCCUUGCUCAUCAGACCAACAACGUCCUGGAUGCUUCACUUCAAGCCCAAGCCCGUCUCCGGGCUCCGUUUUCUCAAAUGGAGCAGUUCAAUCGUACGGAGGGUACUUUUAUGAGGGCACCCAAUCCCCCACCUGCUGUAAAUGACAGUCUGAUCAAGCCUAAUAAUGAGGCGCCACCCAGGUCUGAUGUAGUCACCCAACAAGAGGGAGAUCAGGAUUAUCGCUUUCCACCACCAGAGAAGCAAAGUACGGGGUUGCUGAAGACUCCUCCGCUGGAGAUGCGAACAGAGCCUGGACCCGCCAGACCACCUCUGCUAGAAAGACCUCCGAGGGCAGUCAUGCAAGCCGAGAGUCGAGAGGGUAGGAGAGAAAAUGUGUCUGCUGGUUUCAGAGCAGAAAGUCGUUGGGGUCCACCCAGGGGGGACUUUGAUGAGCGAGACAUGAGGGGGAUGUCUGGUGGUUCAGCGAAGGGUUUCCAGGAAGAGCGGCCAAAUAAUAACUUUCAGAAUCGAUUUGAGGGCCGCAGCGGAGGUUCAUCAGGACCCACUUGGAAUCGUGGAACUGGACCUUCUUUUAACGCCAACAUGAACCAAGAUUACGAUGAUCGCCGCAGACCUUGGGAAAGGCAGAAGGACAGGGAUGACAGGGAUAUGGACUUUAGGGGUGAAAUGAAUGGCAAUCGUCAUAGCCGGGAGCGCGACAGAGACCGUGAAAGGGAGAGGGACCGGAAUCGGGAGCGCGAACGUGGCAGAGAUCGGAAUCGUGAGCGGGACAGGGAAAGGGAGAACGAGAAGGAUAAAGAGCGGGAACGUUGGACUCCUCUUUCUUCACAGUCUCAACCGCUGCUUCCUCAAGCCAAGCCUCAACCGCUACUUCCUUUACCGACCCCCUUGCUUCCUCGGCCUCCAGCACAAGAACCAGUGCAAACGAACUCGCAGUCUUCACCGGUCCUCCACCCUGAUCCUCAACCCCAAUCAACAGAACCAGCUGCGGAACCACAAGCCGAGGUCAAGCCAGAGCCGCAGUCUCUCAGCCCACCUGAAGAGACGACAAGUAGUCAAGAGGACACUGCUGCUUCAUGCGUCAACGGAAUGGAGACUGAUUCCAAACCUCAGUCGGAACCUGCAUCCCAGACUGCUACAGAGCCCUCUAGUAGCCCCUAUCCAUCUCUGACCUCCACUCCCGCCUGCUUCGAGAACGAGCCCCCGAACGGAGAGAACCCCCCAGAAAUGUCUGUUUCCGCAUCUGUGGACGCAGACGCUGAACAGACUGGGCCAAAGGUGAACGCUGAGACUGAACCUGAGCUUGAGAAAAGUGACACUGAGGAAACAUAAUCAUCACUCAGUAGGUAAAGAUCAUUUUGUAUAGUCAUCUCUGUAAUGGUUUUGAAAGCUCUCACAGGAAUCCCCUUCAGUUCAGUUGUGCUCAGUUUUAGGAUGUUCUAGACACCUUAACGAAUGAUUCUUACCUCUCAAGCUUCAAAUGUACGUUCGUUCUAGGCGGCUCACGCUAGAGGAUCUAAAUG